Molecule: ribosomal RNA, 1019 nt
Filed under: uncultured bacterium
Lineage: Bacteria
Description: bacterial SSU rRNA
Rfam family: Bacterial small subunit ribosomal RNA
Source: RNAcentral
UGAGGAAUAUUGGUCAAUGGGCGAGAGCCUGAACCAGCCAAGUAGCGUGCAGGAUGACGGCCCUAUGGGUUGUAAACUGCUUUUAUAAGGGAAUAAAGUGAGUCUCGUGAGACUUUUUGCAUGUACCUUAUGAAUAAGGACCGGCUAAUUCCGUGCCAGCAGCCGCGGUAAUACGGAAGGUCCGGGCGUUAUCCGGAUUUAUUGGGUUUAAAGGGAGCGUAGGCCGGAGAUUAAGCGUGUUGUGAAAUGUAGAUGCUCAACAUCUGCACUGCAGCGCGAACUGGUUUCCUUGAGUACGCACAAAGUGGGCGGAAUUCGUGGUGUAGCGGUGAAAUGCUUAGAUAUCACGAAGAACUCCGAUUGCGAAGGCAGCUCACUGGAGCGCAACUGACGCUGAAGCUCGAAAGUGCGGGUAUCGAACAGGAUUAGAUACCCUGGUAGUCCGCACGGUAAACGAUGGAUGCCCGCUGUUGGUCUGAAUAGGUCAGCGGCCAAGCGAAAGCAUUAAGCAUCCCACCUGGGGAGUACGCCGGCAACGGUGAAACUCAAAGGAAUUGACGGGGGCCCGCACAAGCGGAGGAACAUGUGGUUUAAUUCGAUGAUACGCGAGGAACCUUACCCGGGCUUGAAUUGCAGAGGAAGGAUUUGGAGACAAUGACGCCCUUCGGGGCCUCUGUGAAGGUGCUGCAUGGUUGUCGUCAGCUCGUGCCGUGAGGUGUCGGCUUAAGUGCCAUAACGAGCGCAACCCCUCUCCUUAGUUGCCAUCAGGUUAAGCUGGGCACUCUGGGGACACUGCCACCGUAAGGUGUGAGGAAGGUGGGGAUGACGUCAAAUCAGCACGGCCCUUACGUCCGGGGCUACACACGUGUUACAAUGGCAGGUACAGAGAGACGGUCCCUUGCAAAAUGGAUCAAAUCCUUAAAGCCUGUCUCAGUUCGGACUGGGGUCUGCAACCCGACCCCACGAAGCUGGAUUCGCUAGUAAUCGCGCAUCAGCCAUGGCGCGGUGAAUACGUUCCC